RNAcentral lists this ribosomal RNA (411 nucleotides) under uncultured bacterium. RNAcentral's name for it is "bacterial SSU rRNA". It matches the Rfam family "Bacterial small subunit ribosomal RNA", at positions 29 to 431 of the family's 1533-position model. The record is from RNAcentral.
AAUCAACGCUGGCGGCGUGCCUAACACAUGCAAGUCGAGCGCGAAAGGGGAGUAAUCCCCAAGUAGAGCGGCGAACGGGUGAGUAACGCGUGGGUGAUCUACCUCCGAGUGGGGAAUAACCCCGGGAAACUGGGGCUAAUACCGCAUGACAUCCCUGAGUCACAUCGGGGAUCAAAGCCGGGGACCGCAAGGCCUGGCGUUUGGAGAUGAGCCCGCGUCCGAUUAGCUAGUUGGCGGGGUAACGGCCCACCAAGGCUUCGAUCGGUAGCCGGCCUGAGAGGGCGGACGGCCACACUGGGACUGAGACACGGCCCAGACUCCUACGGGAGGCAGCAGUGGGGAAUUUUCGCAAUGGGGGAAACCCUGACGAAGCAACGCCGCGUGGAGGAUGAAGGCCUUCGGUCGUAACUA